UACGUAGGGUGCAAGCGUUGUCCGGAAUUAUUGGGCGUAAAGAGCUCGUAGGCGGUCUGUCGCGUCUGCUGUGAAAACUCAGGGCUUAACCCUGAGCUUGCAGUGGGUACGGGCAGACUAGAGUGCGGUAGGGGAGACUGGAAUUCCUGGUGUAGCGGUGAAAUGCGCAGAUAUCAGGAAGAACACCCGUGGCGAAGGCGGCUCUCUGGAACGCAACUGACGCUGAGACGCGAAAGCGUGGGGAGCAAACAGG
RNAcentral lists this ribosomal RNA (253 nucleotides) under uncultured bacterium. RNAcentral's name for it is "partial 16S ribosomal RNA". It matches the Rfam family "Bacterial small subunit ribosomal RNA", at positions 524 to 776 of the family's 1533-position model. The record is from RNAcentral.